AAAAUACUCCCUCCAUCCGGAAAAAUACUUGUCGGAGAAAUGGAUGUAUCUAGAUGUAUUUUAGCUCUAGAUACACCCAUUCUAUCCAUUUCUACACAAGUAAUUCCGGAUGGAGGGAGUAUAUA
Non-coding RNA from Triticum aestivum (bread wheat), 125 nucleotides. Lineage: Eukaryota; Viridiplantae; Streptophyta; Magnoliopsida; Poales; Poaceae. The record is from Rfam.